This 437-nucleotide ribosomal RNA is filed under the name uncultured bacterium. RNAcentral's name for it is "partial 16S ribosomal RNA". It matches the Rfam family "Bacterial small subunit ribosomal RNA", at positions 29 to 507 of the family's 1533-position model. The record is from RNAcentral.
AGCGAACGCUGGCGGCAGGCUUAACACAUGCAAGUCGAGCGGGCAUCCUUGUGGUGUCAGCGGCAGACGGGUGAGUAACGCGUGGGAACGUGCCCUUCGGUUCGGAAUAACUCAGGGAAACUUGAGCUAAUACCGGAUACGUGCGAGAGCAGAAAGGUUUAUCUGCCGAAGGAUCGGCCCGCGUCUGAUUAGCUAGUUGGUGAGGUUACGGCUCACCAAGGCGACGAUCAGUAGCUGGUCUGAGAGGAUGAUCAGCCACACUGGGACUGAGACACGGCCCAGACUCCUACGGGAGGCAGCAGUGGGGGAUAUUGGACAAUGGGGGCAACCCUGAUCCAGCCAUGCCGCGUGAGUGAUGACGGCCUUAGGGUUGUAAAGCUCUUUUCUCCGGGACGAUAAUGACGGUACCGGAGGAAUAAGCCCCGGCUAACUUCGUG